GCUUUCCUCGUUAAUCCAGCUGCAAAAACUCAGACGCCAACGACGACGUCUACGCUCUGGCCGCUUAAGGCCUAGCCCCGAACCCGCUUGUGCCCGUGCUCGCGGAUGUAGGGUCAUGAUCACGGGAUAGGAACCGGUGGCGACCCGUCAGCAGGUUCCGAAAUCAAAGCGGGUGUGGAUGAUGGUGUGCCUCGCACGGUGUGUUGCCAUCCUCCGAGACCAAACACCGAGCUAAGCAUGUAGUGCCGGGCAUGGAGUGCCUUCGGACGCGGGUUCGAUUCCCGCCAUCUCCACCA
RNAcentral lists this transfer-messenger RNA (296 nucleotides) under Pseudomonadota bacterium. RNAcentral's name for it is "Proteobacteria bacterium (activated sludge metagenome) partial transfer-messenger RNA". It matches the Rfam family "transfer-messenger RNA", at positions 60 to 374 of the family's 374-position model. From Rfam's summary of the family: Bacterial tmRNA, also known as 10Sa RNA or SsrA, is named for its dual tRNA and mRNA-like properties. Its role is to liberate the mRNA from a stalled ribosome. The record is from RNAcentral. Lineage: Bacteria; Pseudomonadati; Pseudomonadota.